UACGAAGGGUGCAAGCGUUAUUCGGAAUCACUGGGCGUAAAGGGUGCGUAGACGGUAUGUUAAGUUCGUUGUUAAAGGCUCCGGCCUAACCGGAGUACCGCAAUGAAAACUGGCGUGCUAGAGGGUGAGAGAGAGAAGUGGAAUUCCCGGAGUAGCGGUAAAAUGCGUGGAUCUCGGGAGGAACACCAAUGGCGAAGGCAGCUUCUUGGCUCAUUCCUGACGUUGAGGCACGAAAGCGUGGGGAGCAAACAGG
Molecule: ribosomal RNA, 253 nt
Filed under: uncultured bacterium
Lineage: Bacteria
Description: partial 16S ribosomal RNA
Rfam family: Bacterial small subunit ribosomal RNA
Source: RNAcentral